GCACCAGUUGGUUUUAUUAAGUUUAUUACUGGCAUAUUUCCACUACUUCAGAUUUAUGCUGGUUCGUUCUUUGCAAUUCCUUUGUUCCGGUGGUUCAUCGUGCUUAAGACAAAUGC
This is a non-coding RNA of Prunus avium (sweet cherry), 116 nucleotides long. The record is from RefSeq and is a predicted model, not a curated record. NCBI's taxonomy places the organism in Eukaryota, Viridiplantae, Streptophyta, Magnoliopsida, Rosales, Rosaceae.